GCGCCACCCGAGAGCACACCACCCUUUUUAGGCGGUCCUUUGCCAGGAGGGUACGUGCCACUCUCGCCAUCUCUCCACUCCCAGUGCGCGAUUGUCUUUUCAUGUAUGGAAUAGCCGGGUUCAAGCUUACCCUGUCCCAUUUCCAGGGCAUGUGGCUAGUUAAGAUAGUCCUUGAUCAACAGGCCUACAUACGCAUCCAAUCCUUAACUAACCUGGGUAGAACAUCACCUGUUCCUAGCCCAAGUCCCGAUUUAAGUACUUCCAUCCUUAGGAUUGUUUAUGUUCCUAGGAUGAAAAGAGCAUCAAAGGGAACUUUGCAGUAAGAUCCCACCACGCUCUCAAUGAAAAUAUUCUUGCAGGUAGAAGCCAUCUUUCCUCAGGAUAACCCCUGAGCUAGGCCUUAAUGCAAAAGACAACCUCUAUCCACAAGAUCUGAGCAGGGCUAAGCAUUUUUGUAAAUCAUAUUUUGAUACUUCACCAGAAGUAUCUAUAAAGGUAUGGAUAUCAAGGAAGGCAAUGCAUCAAAGGGUUUCAAGCAACUCCUAUAAACCUAAUGCACAUUUCACUAGACUUAAAGUGUGCGAAAAUUAUUUAAAAACAUAAGGAAGGGGUUGCAUGCACCGGGGCUUGCCUGGGUAACACUAGGUUAGUGUUUGUUAGACGAUGUCCACUUGACGAUCAUCCUUGUCCUAGCACUUGAUCAGGCAGGUUCGUUCAUCAGCAUCACCAUACGGAGUAGCCCGCGCUUGGGGUCGACUUGAGUCAUCUUCCGCAUCACGUGAUUAAUUAUCGCACCUGAAUGAAAUGCAUUAUGCAUAUGAAUGCAUAUAGACAGGAAUAUUAAAAUCCCUAAAUAGUGCUACGCGAUGGCGAAUUUAAACACCUAGUGGCGAUGCGUUGUACAAUUUUGUACGGAAUCAGUAGUUAUUAAUAUAUGAUUAAGUGUAAUAAUUAAGCUUCUCUAGAUUAACCGAAUCUAACGCAAACAUCACGAAACAACAAACAAUACAUAUUUAAUAUAAUUAGCCUAAACAUAACUUAUCAGUUAAUUAAUUAGAACACUAAACCUAUCCUACUUAUCACCUACACAUCUCAUAUAUAUAUAUAUAUAUAUAUAUAUAUAUAUAUAUAUAUAUAUAUAUAUAUAUAUAUAUAUAUAUAUAUAUAUAUGUAUAUAUAUAUAUAUAACCAAUAAGCAUUUUAAUAAAUAAUUAAUACAACCACAACGCACGGUUACUACCGUCCAGAGAACUGACGUAACUAAUAUAACUAAUUAAUUCAAGCCUUGAACUAAUAAUAAAAACUAGCGAAUCCAGUGUACUAUUACUAGUCGAUACAAAAUUCAUGAGAACGACGAUGAUUCCGGUUCAGACUAUCCAUCAAACAUUAAGCAUGCGAUGAACAAUGUCCUUCCCGUCAUCGCCCAACAGCUAGAAUUCUACUUCUAUCAUCGACCCCAUAACAUCACACAACUUAACAACAUAAUAACAGGUCGAGCCAUAAUUACCCAGCGCACACCUCGCAUUACUGGUAUUUCUAACUUAAUCGUAUACGUAUACAAAGCAUCUUAUUUUACGAUCAUAAAACCGAGAGUAAAAAUAGCGAAUCGGCUCACCACAUCACAACUCGAUUUGGUAGUUGCCUGAGCCACGACGGUCUUCAGCUUGACGACAAGAUCGAAUAGAGAAUGGUGAGCGUGAGGAUUUCAUAGCGAGGAUGAGCGACAUCUUGGAUUCUUGGUCCGACAUUUAAUCGAACACAUCAGAAGCGAGGUACAGCAGGAAUGGCAGUGAGGCUUGACGGCGAACGUCAUGACGACGAACGACGAGGUCGACGACGCGAUUAGAGAUUAAAGCCGAGCGAGCCGAGAGGGCGCACUGGCGAGCAGGAAACAAGACGCGACAACAUGAGGCCUGACCCGGCGAACAGCGACGCGGAGAACAAAGUGAGGUCACGGGCCGGGCGAACUUUAUUGCGCGGACUGCUUUGCAGUCAGGACGGCUAAGAGAGUUUCGCGCGCGGCCAACAGAUAGCUUGCGCGCAGGGACAGAGGACAGGAAGGGCACGGGCCGGGCUCGGCCAUCGGCGCGGCAAUCCGAAGCUUCGGCCAGCAGGACACCGAGCAGAAGUUCGACGCACACAGGGAGAUGGACGCCGAGAGCUUGAAGCAGACUGGAGCACCACUACGCGCAGGGGAGAGCCACGGCUUGGAGACGCGCCGCGAUGGAGAGCUUCCUGGGCGCGUGGCCAGAGAGGAAAUUCGAGCUGGGAAGAUGCCGGGGCUGGGCAGAGGAUGGGCUCGAGCUAGAGGCGAGCUCGGUCGGGACCUGGGCACCGGGCGCGCGAGAUCCAGCGAGCGCAGGGGCGCGGCACAGGGAGCCGGGCGAGCAGGGAGCUUCGCGCGGCCCACGAUGAAGGAGAAGGGGCGCGCGGGGAUGGGGCAGAGGGAAGCUCGACGGCGGCCGAGCGAAGGGGCGAGCGCAGGGAUAGACUCGGCGGGGAAGCAAGGAGAUGGGCUUCGAGCUGAGCAGAGCGCGGCGAAGGGCUGCAGCGCUGGGGCUCGACUGGAAGAAGAGCGCUCGGCUGGCCGGAGAUGAGAGCGAGUGCGUGCAAGCAGGGAGAGAGAGACACGCGGGGAGGAGUAGGCGCUGGGAGAGAGAACGCGGCAUGAGCAGAGAGGGAGGAGAUAAGGCCGCGUCAGGGGAGAACGGCGGCGGAAUCUUCACCGGCGGUGAGCGGCGGCCAAAAAAUAUCACGCAGUCAGGUACGGUGGCUGGGGAGAGGAUGAGAACGACUGAGACACAGGAAAAUCUUGCGCCGGCUGAACGGAUAGGGACGAGCGGCUGGGAGAUUUUUUUGAAGCAGAGCGCGCGCUGGGAAUUGCAGCUUGCCGGGGAGCAGAACACAGAGGAAGAUACCGUGAGGAGAUAAGGCCUCCAGGCUUCCAUCGGCGGCGUAAAAAAAUUCAGAUGGAAAGAUAAAAACGUGAGAGCGCACGGCGGAUAGGAAGAAGAAAUGGAUAUUUGCAGAUUUCUCUCUUUUUUUAAUUAUUUCUUUAGCCGAAAAAUCAUAGAUAUUUAGGGUUCUAGUAUUUGAAUUUGAGAGAUUUAAAAGGUUGAACCAAAACAAGUUCGAUAGAAUAUUUGAGAAAGAUUUGAUUUAAUGACUAGUCUGGAGUCAGAUGAAUUCGUAUCUGUUAAUUCACUUUUGAGAUUUAAAUCGAGGCGAGAAACAAAUGGACCGAACCAAUAUAAUUUUGGCUUCGACAAAUUUAGACUGCAUUUGAUUCAGUUGACUUCAGACGAUUUCCGUUCGCUACUCGAACACUCGACUAGAGGACAAUUUAAUUAAAAAUCCGUAGACGCGAUGUCACGGAUGACAAAAAGGUGAUUAAAUUAUUUUACAUUGAAAGCUUAAUCGUCGAGUUCUAUUUAAUUGGCUCGGGAUAAAAUUAUCCGAGUGAGUUCGGGCUUCCGAAUUCGUGUUCACGUGAGCGAUGAAUUUUAAAUACUCACCGGACGCACCGAUUUUCGGAACACGACGUUCCGAACAUCACGAAAAUUUCGGAAGAGCCCGGAUAGAUAAAAAUAAAAAUGAUGUCGCACUCGCGACAAACGGAACAGAUGCGAUAUUAAAAUCGCAAUAGGCGAAGAUGUUUAUAAUUUUGGCAUCCGUUUUAUCCACCGAUUACGUGCUUACACCCGUACUCGCUGUCGAGCGGAAUAUAAACACAUGGGGUGUUACAGCCCUCCCCCUUAAAAGAAUCUCGUCCCGAGAUUCGGAGCGAAAGACUUUUAAGAGUAGAUAAGCAUGUAACCCACGUCCACAUCAGCGGUAAUCAUAAGGCAGUCCUGAGCAAAGAUGAGUGUCUCAGGAUGUGGUUUCUCUAGCGGACAUAACAUGUAUCGCCUUAGGCUAAUUUAGAAAUGCCCACCAAUAGAGACGCUGUCCGCCAGAAGAACACAUAAGGUUCCAUGUGUGCAGUUUGCUUUUUCUGAUGACACUGGACUAUCCAAGUCUAUUGGGCGAGCGGUAAAUACGCGAUUUUACCCAAACAGAAUCAGAUGCAACCUCUUGGGUAAAACACACAAAAGAAGUUUACCAACAAGUGGUCACAGUAAGUUCAUAGCACAUGAGACGGGUGUGGAUGUCGAAUACUGUCAUAGUUAACAUAUGGCUAACCAGAGAAUUCAAGUCCACAAAAGACGAUAAAGAUUCGAGAAAAUAUCAAUGAAGAGAUCCAUUGAUGUUGACUUCGCGACCAACCCAUUUCAUCAAAUACUAACCAUGGCUCGACUUAAUCACACAUGCUGGAAAAGCACACGUGAGGUGAUCGAGGCACGACUAGAGCGAUGAUUAUGUGGUUAUUGGCCGACUUAAUCUUGAUUCUUAUAAGUACCUUCUUAGGAUGGGUUGAACCAAAGUGAGUUUAGACAACUCAACAAAACGAUCUCUAAACUCAACCUUUGUCCCCAAUGCAGUUACAAGUUAGUAAAACCAACUUGUUGAACUACUUUUGACAUUGAGCAUGUCCUCUCAAUACCAUCGGUAAGCCAAGGGUCGAGAGUUCACUCUGGUUAAUAAGAGAUCAUGUAUUUGAAUAGAGAUCCAUUUGGUCAUGUUGUUCAUCCGUUUCUUCGUGCGAGAUGAACGGACUUGGUUCGAGAAUACACAGAUUAAAUAAGAGAGCGCAUGAACAAACUCCUGCAUCUCAGCAUAAGGGGAAAUCCAAUCUCCAUUUUGAGAGCUAAUUAGUGGUCUCUCGACACUAAAAAGCUCCAAGACUUCACCUUUACACAAAGGAUGUAAAGGAAACUUGUAUGCGUGCAGUCACUAUCAAAGUCAAGGGAAAAAAAGAGACCACACAUGAAAGUGGUAUGCCCUUUUGAUCCAACAGAGAUGAUAGAUGUUGCUUGAUCACGACAAACAACAUAGAAAUUGUUUCAAGGAAGGAGUCCACAGAAGAUCACACAUCAGUGUAGUUCCAUAAUGGAUCAUGACUAGAGACCUCGAUACCAGCAUACGCCAAGCAGCAUAACCUUGCAUGUACAUUCACAAGGGGCUCUCAGUUUCGCAGCGGCACCAUAAGUCAUUAAUCAUGACACCAUCACCGAACUGGCACCAAUAAUGAAUCUCACGUAGAAAAAAACAGAUUGUGCUAAGAUAACACAUUGAUAUAGUCUCAUAAUGGAUUACAACUACUAACCAUGAUACCAGCGUGUGCCGAGCAGCACAACCAUGUGUGUACAUUCACAGGAGGCCCUCGGUCUCGUCGCGGCACCAUCGGUUUUAGUCAUAACACCAUUACCAGAUGUAACCAAUGAGAAAUCUCGCGCGACACCAAUGGAUUAGGCAAGAGUGACAAUAUACAAAGAGAUACUCCACUUGUUAAGAACAGUUACAAGUAGAGAACCAAAUAGAUUAUGGCCCGAUGAAAUGAACAAGGUAUGGUCAUAACCUAAGCUUGUUGAUGAAUGAGUACGAUGGGAGACUGUUAAUUCAGCCCCAAGCAUAUUUCUAUGCCCAUCGCAACAAUACAAGUCAAGAAUUAGUAUCUGAUUAGAUACGGAGGAAAAAUAAUCACAAGAUUAAGUUGGUAUGCCUUCGAUAGAUAUGAGAAAAAUCAAAGGCACCAAAUUCAAGAAAAUGACUGAAUAUGUCUUUCCUAGACUGGGUUGGUAAAGCAACAAUGUGAUCCUCCAGAAGAGGCAAAGUGGAAUAGAAACAUCAGCUUGCACCAACCAAACAAGGGAAUGGUUUUGGAAUGAGACAUGACUCGAGAUUCUUGUUUUAAGCCCGGGUACACUUUAUGUCCAACAAAGAAAUUAUCUAAGCAUUUAUUUGUAUGAGUUUGGUCAUGGAGUGAUAAUGGAAAAUUCAAAUUUGGGUCAUGGUUCACUAAAUACGAACAUGGCCUAGUUUUGGGUUUAAGCAAACAGACUACCAACCUUCUAUCGGCACAUCAAGUACAAGAGCAAACACAUAUAACACCUAAACAUAAUACCUAAGGAACGGAGGACAGCUAUUUUAUCGAAGUUCAUAAUUCAACAUUACACCACAUUAUCUACAAUCACCGGUUAUUAGAAUAAAGGCGAGAGAAGCAUUUUGGGUGUAUAGGUGACAAACAGAAUGCAACAAUCAGGAUGCAUGCUCGUCCUAUACGUCCUCACUGAUUUUGCCAACAUAAUGUGGCCAUAGCGUUCUAUAUCGGUGGCAUACUUGCGACUCUCACGGUAUUUUGCUAGUCGUCAACUACACAUACGUUUUCGAGGUUAGUGUACCUGCAGAAAUAUCUCAUCACAGCCCAUUUCCCAAUGAUGCAGUUCACACAUGACAAUUUUUCACAGUUUAUACUCCAUAUAUUUCUAUAUGGAGGCCAGCUCAUCAUUAAGCGCCGAGCCACGCAUAGGCACCGUUGCCACACUUUAACCAUAGGGCAACUCAUUAUGGUAACUCACCUUCUUACCUGAACGUAGGUGUGUCGUUACAAGUACAUUACACUUCUCAGUAGUCUCAUGUCUGUAUACCCAUACACAUCCAUGGGGUACUGAAUUCCCAGAAAAGUAAAUACUCCACAUCGCAGCCUUCAUAUAUACAUAUGUGGAACAUGUAUAUAAUCAAGCGCUUUUUAUGCUCUUCCCUAGACCGACGGUUGUUCGGUCAUGCUCUCACAUCUCACCUUACCUUGAGCGUCGAUUCAUUCAAAACUGAAUGGCCUCAAAAAUAACAAUACACAUGUAUGCAAUACCCACCCGAUUGUGGGUUAGUGGUUUUGAACUAAGCCACCUGAUAGUCCUUAACUUAGGGCUUAAUAGAGGAUGUCGCUAGCAUUAUAGUUUUUCAAAGUUGUUUUUCAAAACCAAACAAUGUGUUUAGUUGAAAAUAGGUUUUCUAAAACCAAAAUUUUUGUUUUGAAAAUACGUAUGUGACCGUAUAUACUUAAUCCUGCUCCGAUACUAGCUGUGGCAGAACCUCCCAAGUUAUUGGGCCCACAUGCACCUGUCCUUGUCUCAAAGACCUCAGACAGCUCUGCAUGUGCACUAAAUAACUUAACAGGAUCCGUCCGAUUGCCCCAAGGACAUCGGAUAAACCACUUAUAACCAGAACCGCGGGAUUAAGUUAACACAAAUCAUACACAUCAACAUCUUUGCAGCGGAAAUCUUAUUACCAAAUUUUACAAGUUACAAAAAUUUUACUUUGUAUGAUCGGAGUGAUUACAAAGGUGAUUCAAAGAAAUAACUUUAAACUGUUAUAAAUUAUUUAUAAGUUUGAAAUAUAUGCUAGCUCAAGUGACCAUCCUCAAUAAGAAGGUAAAGACGGGGUAUACUUAUAUAAGAAGGCCGAGCCCACCGGCACUUAACACCAUCACAGCAGCACAAAACUAUAACCUGAAAAACAACAGGGAAUAAAACCCUGAGUAUGGAAUUACUUAGCAAGACUUACCCGACUAAAGAAAAGACUCUCAAGGAUAUGCUGGAUUUGGGAAUCAAGGAGAGGCUUUAGCAAGAAUCAACUUAGAUACUUUUGCAGAAAUAGCUUACUAAAAGUGAAUCCUUACUUUCAAUGUUUUAACGCCAGAUUAAAUAUUAAUAGACUCUGUUUGCAUCUAGUCUAAUUUCACCAUCUCAUCCAUACAACAUCAUUUUUAUUCAUAAUGUUCACAUCCCGACUUAGGUUGUAGGUCGGAGAUCAAGUCUCCACUCUCCGGGGAUAUAACGGCAAUCCGAAUCGAUUUACUCAGCUGAGGAUCUCUAACCACACGACAUAUGUUUCUCGUAAACCUUACAUGUCUACCAUCCCCACGGAUCCUCCACUGCAUGAACAGGUCCGCGCCACCCGAGAGCACACCACCCUUUUUAGGCGGUCCUUUGCCAGGAGGGUACGUGCCACUCUCGCCAUCUCUCCACUCCCAGUGCGCGAUUGUCUUUUCAUGUAUGGAAUAGCCGGGUUCAAGCUUACCCUGUCCCAUUUCCAGGGCAUGUGGCUAGUUAAGAUAGUCCUUGAUCAAUAGGCCUACAUACGCAUCCAAUCCUUAACUAACCUGGGUAGAACAUCACCUGUUCCUAGCCCAAGUCCCGAUUUAAGUACUUCCAUCCUUAGGAUUGUUUAUGUUCCUAGGAUGAAAAGAGCAUCAAAGGGAACUUUGCAGUAAGAUCCCACCACGCUCUCAAUGAAAAUAUUCUUGCAGGUAGAAGCCAUCUUUCCUCAGGAUAACCCCUGAGCUAGGCCUUAAUGCAAAAGACAACCUCUAUCCACAAGAUCUGAGCAGGGCUAAGCAUUUUUGUAAAUCAUAUUUUGAUACUUC
RNAcentral lists this long non-coding RNA (8305 nucleotides) under Zea mays. Its description in RNAcentral is "long non-coding RNA (ZMAY_LNC002277)". Lineage: Eukaryota; Viridiplantae; Streptophyta; Magnoliopsida; Poales; Poaceae. The record is from RNAcentral.